UUGAUGCUCAGUGACUGGUGGUGUUGGA
Molecule: non-coding RNA, 28 nt
Filed under: Rattus norvegicus (Norway rat)
Lineage: Eukaryota; Metazoa; Chordata; Mammalia; Rodentia; Muridae
Source: RNAcentral